This is a long non-coding RNA of Pan troglodytes (chimpanzee), 1703 nucleotides long. RefSeq lists it as uncharacterized. NCBI's taxonomy places the organism in Eukaryota, Metazoa, Chordata, Mammalia, Primates, Hominidae. The record is from RefSeq and is a predicted model, not a curated record. The transcript has 4 exons.
GCAUGGGAAAAUAGUCUAUGCAGGGAUGAUAAUUACAAUGGAAUUAUGGUCAUAUGGCAAAGCACAUGAACUAGUAGUAAUUGCAAACACAUUCCUUCAUGGAGAUGAUGUUGAGCUGAGUCAUGAUGUAGAAAUUAGUGAAGUUAAAUGGGAAAAAAAAGAAUAAAAAUUUUGUAAGCAUAGGGAGCUCUCUGAGCAAGAAGGAGUCAAGAGAAGGCAUUUUGCAUCAUGGAAGUUACAAAGAAAGGCAUAGUUUGAUAGGGUGACUUGAUGAGUAUGAGAGAAAAGGGAAGAUUUGAGGAUAGAAAACUGAGAAAGGGCAAGCUGUUGAAAGACCUUAUAUGGUGCACAAAUAAGUUUAGAAUAUAUCUCAUAGGCAAUGGGAAUCUAUAAAAUAAGAACGUGCUAUAAUUUGAUUUGUGUUUCUGAAAGACUCUUUUGGUUGUACCAUAAAGGAUUAGAAGAGAACAAUACUAGAAGCAAGAAGAAUUGUUAGCCUGCUGAUGCAAAACCAAGAUGAGAAAUGAUGAGAGAUUAAGUCCAAACUGUAAAGAUCGGUGGUGAAGAUUGAAAGGGAGGAUAGAGUCUGUCUGCAGUUUCUGACUCAGAAUGCAUUUUUCCGGGUAUAUGCAAUUCCACUCACUGACAGAGGGGGACCAAAAAGAAGAGGAUGAACAAGUUUGUGGGGGGAAGAUAAAUAUUCUUUGGGCAGUUUAAAUUUAGGAAAUAAAGGUAGUAACCUGUAGUAGAGUGAAAGAUCGAAACAUAAAACAGAGCUAAAGUUAUUAGCCUCAACCAACCCAUGCUAUAUGUUUUCCUUCUGAUCAAUCCCAACUACUAACGGAGCGACUAAACAAAAUGAAUUUUUGCAUCAAAAUGAAACAUUUUACCCUGAGUACUUUCCAAUGAAACUAUAUAUAAUUACCUGAUACUAGUAUAGUGAUCUAAACAUUAGAGGACUAAAGUCGCAUAUUCAUACCACCACGCGCAAAGGGCAGCAUAAAGGGAUGAAGUGAAAAUAUAUCAGAGGAACUGUCUUCCAUAUGGGAAUAUACCAGUGAAGUCAGACCACAUUAAUAGCAACAAAAAUCCAGAGUGGUAUACUUCCAUGUCCAUAUUAUUGGAAAAAAAUUCUUAACCAGUAAAAGCAUGGCACUGUGGAUUAAGUACCAGGCUAACAUCAAGGAAAUCAGGUGAUGAUAGCCUACUGUAUGUCCCCAGUUGGUUUGAAGAUUUUCAAAAUAAGAACACUGUGGAAAAAUGAGUUUCUCCAUGAAGUUGUAAAUUGUGGAGUGCAACAUGUUCACAAGCUUCCAAACUGUGAUGACUGCAUCUCAAGCGUAAAGCUCUGGACAAUACAGAAAUAAAAUAUGAUGGCAAAAUAUGCAGAAAGCUUAUGAGUUGGUAAUAAGCAAGAUGGAGUCAAUAAAUGUUUUAAGAAUAUUGAUAAGUACAACAUAAGGCAACAUUAUGUGAAGUUACCAUCAGGAAAAACAGCAAUAAAUGGCACAUGUUGAAGAUGCCAGAAAAAUAGUUAUUUUUUUCAGAAAAAAGUACCUAGUUGCCUGUAAAGUCAUAACCCAAGGUCUAACAUGAAAAGUUUUAAGUUAGAGCACUGUACCUGGUAUGUAAAGAGUUGUCAAUACAUGUUUCCUGAUGAAUUAAUGAGCCUAUGAAAGAAAAUACAGUGGUCAUACACAAUU